UAAAGACUGUAGAGGCGACUGGUGUUCUCACGCAAGGCAGCCAAGGUGCGGGAGAGUGGCUGAUCUUUGACCCUGGCAAUCUCUCGG
Molecule: microRNA precursor, 87 nt
Filed under: Chlorocebus sabaeus (green monkey)
Lineage: Eukaryota; Metazoa; Chordata; Mammalia; Primates; Cercopithecidae
Description: miRNA (ENSCSAG00000025085.1)
Source: RNAcentral